Molecule: long non-coding RNA, 984 nt
Filed under: Sus scrofa (pig)
Lineage: Eukaryota; Metazoa; Chordata; Mammalia; Artiodactyla; Suidae
Description: lncRNA (ENSSSCG00050043658.1)
Source: RNAcentral
GGAGGUAAAGCCCCCCAAACUGUGUCUCUAUACUCACCUGAGACUGCAGCCCCCAGGAGUUUCUCACUCUUGUGCUAAUCCAUGCUCAGCCUCUAGCAACUCAUCAAAGCCACCAUAGAAAUGUACCUACCAGUUUACAGCUUCAGUGGCUUUUACUCCAGAUAAGCAGGUCUUGGCUGUGACUCUAUUCAUUUAUCUUUUUAGAUGUUAGGGUGGAGGUUUACUUUGUGGCACAGUUGUAUGAUGGGUCCAAGAAAAGCCAUUAUUUUCAGAUUCAUUUUUUUUUUCUUGUUUUAAGGACAGGCGUGACAACAUCCAAGCUCUUUUCAUCUUUUCAUGUAGGAGCCAAAACCAAAAGUCUUGGGAAAAUUUUUUUCUUUAACAUAAGCAUUCCUGAAAAAUAAGUUACUUGACAGGUCCAAUAUCCGGCUGGAGUCUUCUACUGGCUUGAAGCAAGCAAGAGUUCUGAGUGUUUUUGUCCAGAAAAACUUGGCUUGAGAUAACUUUUGGCAGUGCUCAAAGUUGAGUAACUAGGACAUAAAAGCAGGGCUGCUCAAAAGACAGCCAAUGAGCCCAGCCUCCUGCCUUGGGCAAUGUAUGUCCUAGUCAGAGUCCUUCUCAAGAAUUCAUGUCAUCAGAAGGGGGCUUAACUCAAGGGUUUGGACAGUGGCUCCAUCUCAGAAGCAUACAGGUAUUUAACACUUCAUUUCCCCUCCAUUGUUCCCUCUUCUCCCACUGGGCAACCCAGUAUAGUUCCCUGGAGUGAGGAGGGAAAGGGGCCCUCAGACUCACUAUGUAGCCUCAAAGUCUUUUGCCCUAUUAUGUACAUUGACUUUUACAAUUAAAAAGCUUAGAGUAUGAAUUUUAAAUUAUGUAAUUGUACUGUAACAACAUUUUUUUUGAGGCAGUGAAUAUCUCAUGGCCUAUUUUGCAUGUUAAGAGCCACAGGGUCAUAAAUAAAGCCUUACUGGGAGCUUGGGAGCA